UACGAAGGGGGCUAGCGUUGCUCGGAAUCACUGGGCGUAAAGGGUGCGUAGGCGGGUCUUUAAGUCAGGGGUGAAAUCCUGGAGCUCAACUCCAGAACUGCCUUUGAUACUGAGGAUCUUGAGUGUCGGAGAGGAUAGGGGAAUACCCGGUGUAGAGGUGAAAUUCGUAGAGAUCGGGUGGAACACCAGUGGCGAAGGCGCCUAUCUGGCUGACAACUGACGCUGAGACUCGAAAGCAUGGGGAGCAAACAGG
Molecule: ribosomal RNA, 253 nt
Filed under: uncultured bacterium
Lineage: Bacteria
Description: partial 16S ribosomal RNA
Rfam family: Bacterial small subunit ribosomal RNA
Source: RNAcentral